Non-coding RNA from Apiotrichum porosum, 73 nucleotides. NCBI's taxonomy places the organism in Eukaryota, Fungi, Basidiomycota, Tremellomycetes, Trichosporonales, Trichosporonaceae. The record is from the annotation of a RefSeq genome assembly.
GAGAAUAUAACUCAGUUGGUAGAGUGGCUGACUUUUAAUCAGUGUGUCGCAGGUUCGAGCCCUGUUGUUCUCC